This is a non-coding RNA of Lolium perenne, 9044 nucleotides long. The record is from RefSeq and is a predicted model, not a curated record. NCBI's taxonomy places the organism in Eukaryota, Viridiplantae, Streptophyta, Magnoliopsida, Poales, Poaceae.
AGGGGUAUAUUGGGUAUUUCCUCACGCAGCGAUUGGAUGAGACAAAACUGCAGCCCGUGGUCCAGAACCCUAACCAGUCGUGCUCCUCGCCCCAAUCUUCUCGUUCUUCCGCCGCCGCCUGCCCAAUCCCGCUCCCCGCAGCCGCAUCCCCAUCUCCCGCUCCCCGCCGCCGCUGUCCUCCUCCCCGGUGAGCUGCCGGCGCCCCGCUCUGGGUAAUCAAGGCCAAGGACGAGCAGUGAGGCAAAAACGACCGGCUCUGGCACGGACGCGCUCGCCUCGUCUUCGUCGGCUCCGGCGAGGCAGGGCCAUGGGUGUCGGCCGCGGCCUUCCUCGGAGGUGCGCUAGCCGUACCUCGUGGCGUCUCCAUCGCCGGGAAUAGGGCAGCUGUACGCUGCACUCCUCUCCCUCGUGCGGCUCUGGAUGGCAUGGCCACGCUCGCCUCGGUCUUCGUCGGCUCUGGCGAGGCGGGCCGUGGGUGUCGGCCGCGCCUUCGUUGACGGCGCGCUGGCAGUACCGGUCUGGAAUCAUCUCCUUCUCCCCGUGCAGCUCAUCCUCACCGGAGGGAGGAGCAUGGGCCAUGGCCGACACCUACCAUGGCACCCCUGUCCCGGCCCUCAACGCCAAGAACAAGUCAACUACUCCACUUACAGGCAAAAGAGUGGAGUUCCAUGUGGGUUAAUAUCAUGGUCAACAGCAAGGCAUCUCACCACAUACCGGUAACAACCUCUGAAGUAGACAGCUGGAGUUCCAUGACCUCAGAAGUAACAAUGGUGUGUUAAGCCUCACUAUAAGUGUCAGCUCAAAUCAGCGAACCUGGGUGCCAUGUCAGAUUUGGUGAACCUGCAUUCUCUUUUGUUCGAGUGCAUUACAUCUUUGAUAACUGCAAAGCAUCAGGUUUCUGACCCACCAUCGUUCUUUAAAAAUUAAUAGGACAUUAUAAAGAUAUCACAGGUGCUAAACAAUAUUUGCGCAGUCUAGAGAUGUCGAAUGUCACAUUUGGUGGUUACAACUGUUGAAAGAUCAUGUCUACUAUGUGCAAGUGUGGAGAGACAAAACCACUGAAGCGAGUAAAUACAUUGUACAAGUUCUCUUCGUUCAGCUUCCUUUGCGGCUUUUUCCAGUGGUGCUAUACUGCUGGAGAUAACUGUUGAUUUAAGAGCUUCACUACAUUAGUCGUUUUUUUGCGGGCCACUACAUUAGUCCUUCAAGAUUUAUAAGAACAGGUGGUGGUCCAACAACGAUAUCGAUAGAGGUAUAAUUGCUGCAGGUCCAUGGGCGCCUCGCAGGGUAUCCACGCACGCCACCAGGCACGCACGGGCUGGCCGGUUGCCUCGUCUCGUUUCCAGUCAGCAGAUUGGGCCACGUUUCACACGGGUAUUGGCUCGAGGAGAAAAGAAAAAAGGGAUCGAGUAGGAGAGAAGCUAGCGACCAGCCAAACCCUAUCCUCUCAGCCGCCGCCCCUGUCCCUGCUCUCUCCGUGCGUGGCCUCCUCCACCCAGUCGUCCGGCCGUCGAGCUCCGCCUCCUCCCCGCCGAGCUGCACCUCAUCCCCGUCGCCGCCUCGCCCGCUUCUCACGCUCCUCCAUGGAUGGUGGAAAGGAGGACCGCGUGGCAGGAGCGCGCCGCCAUGUGAGUCGCUGAGAUCGAUGCCGCCCUCUUCAUCGCGCGACGGUCGCCGCACGACGGAGCAGAGAGCCACCACCGACGGUGGCAAGGAGGAGCACGUGCGGGGAAUGGCAGCUGGACUUUGCCUCCUCCAGCCCCACACUGCCUCUCAUCGUGAGAAGGAGAGGGGUGGAGAAAUAUGGACUGGAGCAAGAGGAGAAGAUGAGGGAGAGCUGGGCUUCCUCCAUCUCCGGUCCCCUUUGUGUCCUUGCAGAUUCUUUUGAUUUAUGCCACAAGGUGCUCGAUGAAAAUCUAGGCAGAUUGUCAUUGAUGAAAUAUACAAGAAAAAUCCAGGAAACGUGGUUGGUGAUAUAUUCAUGUCAAAGAAAGAGAAGGGAAUUCAGCGGGCAGUGUUGAAGAUGAGGCUUGGCAUCAUGAACUAAGAAACUACAAUGACUUAUAUACUCCAUCUCUUCCAAUAUAAGUCUCCGAAAGUUUGUCCCCAACGACAAAAUACGGGGCCUCGCUCAAAGUUUAAACAGGUUAGAGCACCGACAAUCUCUCUAGAGCUGCUCAAUUGGACCUGAACCCAAUGAUGACGGACAUGUAAGAGAUAAGGAGAUUGUGAUAGCUGCAGCUGAAGAGGAACAAAGGGCUACUCAAAAACUUCAGCAAGCCAUAUAUUUGAAGAUAUUAUUGGAAGGAUCACUAUGGUCUCAGACAUCAUACCUGUUCAGGCCAUGCAUCAGACAAUGCCUUUGAACCCAAGAUGGUUAUGCUCAAGGAUCAUCUGCAAGUUAUUAUGAUCCUUCUGUUUUCUUUUGGAGAUGAUGAUUCUGCUGAUGAUUUAUGUACCUUAUUGUUUCUGGCUAUGUAAAUCUGCAGGGGCAAUGAAAUGAAGCUGGCUCUUUGGGGUGACCGUGUGGUUCAUUUUGACGCGGAAGUUGUCUGUGCUAUACGACGUAAAUAACCAAUCAUUACUAUUUUCUGGAACAUUACUAAGACAGCUGAUGGUACUCCCUCUCAUCGCUUCUUUAUAAUCUGUAUGGUUUGGUAAAUUCAUGUUUCAUAUUUUUUUCUAUGGUGUUCCUUGUUGCGCUGCUUAUGUCCUUUUGAGAUAUGUGCACUCUAUGUGCGUCUGUAUAUUAGUGGUGAUAGAUAUGUAUUUUCAUGUCGGUUCGGUGCUGGUAAUAGAGGAUUGAGUGGUUAGAAAGUAUAAAAGGUACGAGUUUUAGUUCAUUUGUCCAUUCAUAAAAGCAGGUGCUUCCCCGUGUUGCUUCUUAUGUUCUUCAUGCUUUCCUUUGCCUUUGUUUUCUGCUGCUAUUUUACGCAUGUCGAUGUUAUCGUGUUGUUUUAUAUUAUCUCCGCCUCUGUAGAAAAGUCUGAUUUCUUCUCCGUGCCUGCCCUUUGUACCCAGUUCUUCAUGCCUACGAGUUCCAGAAGUGAGGCCUUCCACACGCUCAAUACUGGUAGGCACGCUCAACACUGGUAGAGGUAAACUUUAGAACAGUCACCUCUCGUGUACCGUGCAUAAAGUCUACCAAAAGGAUAUCAUCUCUUACUGUUUCAAACAUAGAUCCAUGACCAUCUUAUUGCCCCUUUUGUUACUGUGUUGCAAAACUAUGACACAAUAGAUUAAAUACCAUUCUUAUUGCCCCUUUUGUUCUUUCCCUUCUCGGUUUUGUACUGCUCUUUAUUUUCUUUUGGGUUCUCUUCUUACUGUUUCUUCUUCUUUGUUUUGUUCUUCCUUUCUUUGUUUUGGAUAUCUUCUUUCUUCUCAUGGCUCGUGUAUAUUAUUUCUUCGAUUUGUUCUUUCCGAUUUCUUCAUGGCUCCCUCUGUUUUUUUCUUCGAUUUGCUUUUUUCUUCUAUCUAUUCUUUCCGAUUUCUUUGAUAUUUUUUUUUUUACUUCGAGUCCCUGCGGGGAGCUUAACGGCAAGUGUGUUUGUAUGUAAGAAGGAAAAAUUUCCAAAAUAAUUUCAGGAGGAGAUUGUUAUUGAUGAAAAUGCUGUGACAAUGGUCGACGUGUAUUUAAGGAUGGAAAAUGCUCAAUAACUAGCUCUGUAACCAGUAGAUAUUUUCUAUGUGUAACAUGUAGUAUUCUUUAUUCUAUCGCGCUCAUUUAUUUAGGGCACAUGUUUUUAUAGAUUGCAUGUAAAAGGAUGUUGCUACUUUUGGUUGGUACUAAAGAUGCUUUGGAAUCAACAACUUUGGUUGAAUCCGAAAAAGGUGAUUAGUUGAAGAUUUAGAACUUCUUGGGCGAGCUAACAUUUUCUUCUAAUUCUCUAUUGAUUUUCAUGGACAUAAAAUAGAAUUAGGAACUGAUUCUCUGCUGAUUUUAUCUUCGAUAACAUGCCGCAAUGCCUUCAUUUGUGCCAGCUGUGUACAUGUUAUUAAGAGAUAUGCAUGAUUAACAAUUUGUCUGCUUUAUUGUGAUUUUUGAUCCCCAGAUAGAACUAGGAACCGAAUAUGAACUAAUUUUUACUUAAAUUUGACUAUGCCAUUUUGUUUUUCCUUCUAGCAGCGUUGUAUACUUAAGUUGAAGAUAUUAUUUUUUAUUCAAAUAUGUUCGCUAAAAAUUGAUGAGUCCGCACUGAAAAUUAAAAGCCUUAACAACACGUGUGUUUCUGCUUUAUGUACUAGGUUCCUUAUUACUUACAGGUUACUUGUCUUCUAUGUCAGCUUAGUCUGCCUGUUAUUCAUGAACCAACCGCUCUAGCAGCCCUAGCUACGACGUCUUUGUCAAUUAAUACCAGGUUCUCAUAUGUUGUUUCGUGCUCAUUUGGUCGUCUGCUUGACAGAAGAUAAAGCAAAUACCUAAGUUGUUUGAUGAGGUAACUAAAGUAAUAACUUCCAUUUCUGUUAGUCCUGGUGUCGACCAGUUCUGCAGUUGUAUUUUUCAUGGUUAGAUUUUGUAGCAUGAUGUAGGUAGGUUUGUGCUCUGUUUGUAAUCCCAUCUACUUUAUCGUAAGUUCAUUCUAUUAACAUUGUUUUGUGAAAACCAAGAUUUUUUAAUCAUUUUUUCGCCUAAUUUUUAUCGUUGGUACACAAAGUGUGUAUUAGCAUGAGCUCCAAGGGAUUCUGCGCCAAGGCGCACCCCAAAAUAUGGCUUUAUUAAACUGGACUUUCUUUAGGUUUUGCGUUAGAGCUGAGAGCAGGUAUUAUUCCCUUAUCAAGUAUGCCAUUCAAUCUAUUUGAUGUUAUCAAGUACUGUCAUCUUGCUGCCAACUACUGCAUUAUUCAAUCUAUUUGCACAUGCAUGUAUUAUUAUUUUGCCAAUGGUUUACCUUAACCGUCUACUCCUAGAUUGACUUAGUGUUCUGACUUAUGAAAACUUAUGGUUUGCAAGAUUACUCCAGCCCACUACAGUAUAUCGAUGCAUCAGAUAAAGGAAGAUGGCUACCACUACGACUCCAAUGGGCUUCCUAUAGAUUACGAGUCCCUCUGUAUGUUCAUUCAGAUUCUCCUAAAGUGUUGAGUCAUUCUACAUGCAACUUUUGAAGACAAACGGUAUUGCCGUGAAAGUGCUGAAAUCCCAUGUCCCUUUUUUUAUAGUUAUAACGCAUUGGUGGAGCAACAGUUCCUAUGUCCUCUUGAAUGGUAUAGACCUGGACAUUGAUAUUGUUGUGAAAAGAGAUAUGGGUGAUUUGAUUGCAUACCCUAAUGCCUUGCAGGUUGCAUCUGUGGUUUCAUGUGAUCACUUGUGUUCCCUUCAGAGUUGCAUCUUUACAUGAAUGCCUUUUUCCUAAAAUUAUGCUAUUCUAGGUUUCAAACAGAAAAAAAGAAGAUUGGUUCUUCCCUUUUCCCAGCAAAGGCCUCGCUCUUCAGAGAAUUUUCUCAUUGAGAUGGACCAUCGGUUCAUGGUUGUAGCUGUCUAAUAGGAAGCUACAAACUUAUUGCAUUUUGUAUUCAUGAGAAAUAGAUUGUGAUUUCCGUUAUGCAAACAUUACCUGUGUAUGCAUCUGAUGCCACUGUACGACGGAACGCUUAGUCUAUAUUGAACUUCACGAGAUAAUGACUUUGAAGUCGGUAAUUCAAAUUUACAUAUAUUAUCAUUUUUGCCUGAAUUUUAUUGUUAUUAUACAAGAUGUGAAAUCCACGGGAUCGUGCGCCAAGGCGCACAUCUAAAUCUAGUCUCACGGUAUGAUUGCUGCACCCCCAUGGAGCUCUCACAGGCGUUUGGAUUUUGGGCCGUCCGAUCAAGCUGACGUGGCGCGAUCUCGGCCAGCCAUUCCAUCCAGGGCGCGAGGCCCUCCCGCAGACCCGCAUUUUAUCCACGGGUCCUGUGAAGCCCGCUCGGCCCAGACUCUCCCGUCGCGCGUGGCUGCGAGCUCCAAUCCCGUCGCUCCCUCUCCCCUUCCUCCUCCGCUCCCAGCCGCCGCCUCCGCUCCGCGCCCGCCCUCCGCGCCCCCGAUCCUGUCGCCUCCUCCUCUCCCAAUCCGCUCGCCUCCUCUUCCAAUCGCCUCACGUCAGCAGCGCCUCAUCCGGUUGCCGCCGCCGCCGACGAAGGUCGCCGACCCAGACCGCGCCUCAUCCCCGUCCUGCGUGUCGUCGUGGUCUUCUCCGUCGAGAUAGAUGGCGAGGAGGCGGAGGAGGAAGCCUUCCAUGGUGCCACCGAUGUUGGAGAUGAUGGUGAGGUUUUGCAGCAGCUGGGCACUUCGUGCCUCUCCCGAUCUGCUCGGCGUGGAAUCCCCGACCGAGCCCCUCUCCAUUAUCCUCUUGCUUGAGGCUGCCAAGGUCGUUCUCGUCCUUGACAACUGCGAGCAGGGCAAGGUCAGCCGCUGCCUCCUCUAUUUCUUGGUCCUCCUGGCUGGACGGUUCCCCACCAUGAGAAGACAGGGAGAGGAGGGCGUGCUCUGCAUCUCCUUCCCUAGCCCCUCUAGAUCGAGCGGCAGCCAACGAGGUUCAGCUUCCAUCGGCCCAUCUCUCCACCUCCACGCCUUUGCUGAUUACAGAUCCAGAUGUAUUUUGUAUCUAUGCAUAUAAACUGUUUGAGGAAAUAUCUAAGCAGGCUGAAGGUGAAUAAUAGGGCUUCCCAUGCCGCUUGGAAUGGUGGCUGGCCACCUGAUCGAGGCUCUCGAGCAUGUCCUAACUAUAUAUUUUCUUUACCGCUGAGAUAAAAAGACCCACAACUCAUAUCGGAUUCGUAAGGUGGGAUUUCGCUCAUGUUACUCUUACAUGCCAGUGACACUUUAUUUAUAUUAGACAGAGACCAAGGGAAAAAAUGAACACCGUCCGGGUCAGCGACGCCAUCUCCAUGGGGACCAGGGGCAUGUGCUACAGACUCCAGUCCGGCAACCGUAUCGCCGACAUCAUUGAGACCGUCAUGGGCGUGGAGCGCUAUGGCACCUGGAUGCGACAAGAACCCUGGAAACUUCCAGGGAAAUUCAUAUGACAUAGUAUCUGCUUUGCAGAGCUACGGAGAAUUUGUUAGUGGAUCAAUCAGCAAGGAGGAAAGAAAGUAUGUGCUCCACAACUCAUGCCCAGGGGCAGGUUCGUGUGGCGGUAUGUACACACCAAAUACAGUGGCAUCCGCAAUUGAGACAAUGGGCAUGAGCCUUUCAUACAGGUGCAAAAUCAUGGUCUACAAACAGAGAAGCAUCAUAUAGGAUCUUAUUCCAAGUCUGGUAUGCCAUGAAACUUGGGGGCUAGCAUCUUCUAGGUGUGGUUCUGGUCUCAGGAUGAUGCUCAAGUGUUGCCCGUGGUUCAGCUGCUGCUAGGUUGGCUCAAUUUCUUCGCCAUGCAUCACGGAAGCCUUUGUCGUGCUUUGCGGAAGCUUUCACAGGUUCGUUGUAGAAGAACCUAAUGAAUUCUUCACUCCACUGAUUACCAUGACAUGCAACAAGUAUAGGUAGGGUACUUUCCUUUUUGAAAUCAGGUAGCAUUUCUUGUGUUUUUGUUCAUGGGGUGGCUCUGAAAAUUGAUCCAAUAAAGAGGGUGCAUAAUGAGCAUCUCUGCUUUGGUCAUACAUGUACUUUAUACUGAACCAGUCAAUCUGUUACGAAAAGGAGGAGACCAUUGUAAUGUACUCUCACUCUCAGCUUCAUAUGUUCAAGCAGAUUGUUGAACAUAUCCCUUAAUUAUCAAUUGAUGUGUCAUGAGCCAGUCCCUUCGCAUUUUCGUACUUCUCAUAUUUAUUCUUUACCAAUCUAUCUAAGCUUGCUUCCUCUUUUACCCAUCGACUAAAUGCGGUCAAAAUAUUUAUCUAUCAUUUUAGGGAAAGCCUUCUUGAGAAGGCAGCAGCGAUGCCUUAUGUUGAGGUUUCUAAUGGAAUGUAUGCCUUUCCCUUGAUGGCGCAGUCCUCGAAGAAAUUACAUGAUGGCAGUAAGUGACCCAGUCUCGACUAUAAAACAUCACAUCUUGUGUGUUUUAUGUUUUUCUGAAGUUUAUUUGUCUGAAUAAAAGUACAUCUAUAUUAUGUAGUAUAGAAGCUUAUACAUGCAAUAUUUCGAGUUAACGUUGCCCACAUCUCUUUUGUAUUUAGUUGCAGAUUGGGGUGUGGAUAGUUUGCUUUAGCUACUUAUGCACUAGAAAAAUAAUGAAUCAAUUUUGGCGUAUAUAUCGAGGAUAAUGUCUAGAUCCAUUCAUGUAUUUUUGUUUGUGAAAAAGGAAAUACCCAUGAUAGGUAUUACAAAGCAUUAGGUGUAUGUCCUUCAUGAAAGAAAAAAACAAAGACUAUUCGAGUUGGCAAUGGUUCAAAAUUUUGAAACUCGCUACUUCAUGAAAGUGAAAGGGAAACAUACAAGUCCUAACCAAUGGCCUGAUAAAAAUAUUUUGGGGUUACGAUAUUUUAGAAGAGCUCUGAAUAGAGGAGUAGAGGCUUGUCCCUAAUUCUGCAUACAAAAGCCAUCAAUCAGUAUUGGAAACCUGAAAAUAUGAAGUAAUAAAGGCAUAAAUUGUGUUGAUUCAAAAAGGUAUUUGUCUUAUUCUGAGAAAUUGAAAACUACUGUGGUUUAUUUGGCUCACUGUAUCCUUCUACUCUUAUUUAGAUUCAUUAGCAUUUUUCCUCAUUGACACACCUUGAACAGGCUUGCCAUUUUCAUAACCUGUUAUUUACAAUGGUACUUUGCUUCUCAGUGGUAAAUGGUAGAUAAUGCUUUCUGUCACAAUUAAAAGAUCACUGUAUCUAUCUACAUUUGUCCUGAAGUUAGACCAUGCAACUCAAAAAGGUUAGAGAUUGAGCUUUCGAGAACAAUAUAAGAAAUAUGUUGCUUUCUCAAUUAGAAGAGUUGUGCCAGAAGAAUACAUGCAUCUACUAGCCAUAUUUCUCGAGACUUUAGUAUAUGUAAGUAACAAUUAUGUAUGUAUAUGGCAGUGUGCUUUGCUCUACCUCAAGACUAUCACUGAUAUGUAUUUCCUUGUGCUCUCCAAUAUGUAACUUUUAUGUAUGCAAGAGCAAUGUGCUUUUCUCUUACUAUAUAUAAGACUACCAUCGAUAUGUA